UGCCAGGGCCCAUGGAGUGCGGACUUACAAACCCCGCCAGGGCCGGAAGGCAGCAACGGUAGUCUGCUCCGCAACCGCCGUGGUUACCCUGGCAUUU
RNAcentral lists this signal recognition particle RNA (97 nucleotides) under Limisphaerales bacterium. RNAcentral's name for it is "Verrucomicrobia subdivision 3 bacterium (sediment metagenome) signal recognition particle sRNA small type". It matches the Rfam family "Bacterial small signal recognition particle RNA". From Rfam's summary of the family: The signal recognition particle (SRP) is a universally conserved ribonucleoprotein involved in the co-translational targeting of proteins to membranes. Lineage: Bacteria; Pseudomonadati; Verrucomicrobiota; Verrucomicrobiia; Limisphaerales. The record is from RNAcentral.